RNAcentral lists this ribosomal RNA (500 nucleotides) under uncultured microorganism. RNAcentral's name for it is "bacterial SSU rRNA". It matches the Rfam family "Bacterial small subunit ribosomal RNA", at positions 9 to 521 of the family's 1533-position model. The record is from RNAcentral.
GAGUUUGAUCCUGGCUCAGGAUGAACGCUGGCGGCGUGCCUAACACAUGCAAGUCGAACGGAUCCAUAUUGAAACCUAGUGAUGUAUGGAUUAGUGGCGGACGGGUGAGUAACGCGUGGAUAACCUGCCGUAUACAGGGGAUAACACUUAGAAAUAGGUGCUAAUACCGCAUAAGCGCACGGUUCCGCAUGGAACAGUGUGAAAAACUUCGGUGGUAUACGAUGGAUCCGCGUCUGAUUAGCCAGUUGGCGGGGUAACGGCCCACCAAAGCGACGAUCAGUAGCCGGCCUGAGAGGGUGAACGGCCACAUUGGGACUGAGACACGGCCCAAACUCCUACGGGAGGCAGCAGUGGGGAAUAUUGCACAAUGGGGGAAACCCUGAUGCAGCGACGCCGCGUGAGUGAAGAAGUAUCUCGGUACGUAAAGCUCUAUCAGCAGGGAAGAAAAUGACGGUACCUGAUUAAGAAGCCCCGGCUAACUACGUGCCAGCCGCCGCCGU